GAUGAACGCUGGCGGCGUGCCUAACACAUGCAAGUCGAGCGAGAAAUGAAGAGAAGAAACUUCGGUAGAUUUUCAUCAUGGAAAGCGGCGGACGGGUGAGUAACGCGUAGGCAACCUGCCCCGUACAGGGGGAUAGCCAUCGGAAACGAUGAUUAAGACCCCAUAAAGCGGAAUAUACACAUGUAAAAACCGUCAAAGAUUUAUCGGUAUGGGAUGGGCCUGGGUCUGAUUAGAUAGUUGGUAGGGUAACGGCCUACCAAGUCAACGAUCAGUAGCCGACCUGAGAGGGUGAACGGCCACAUUGGAACUGAGACACGGUCCAAACUCCUACGGGAAGGCAGCAGUGGGGAAUAUUGCACAAUGGAGGGAACUCUGAUGCAGCAACGCCGCGUGAAGGAAGAAGGUCUUCGGAUCGUAAACUUCUGUCCAAAAGGAAGAAGGAAGUGACGGUACCUUGGAGGAAGCCCCG
This 469-nucleotide ribosomal RNA is filed under the name Peptostreptococcaceae bacterium oral taxon 383. RNAcentral describes it as "bacterial SSU rRNA". It matches the Rfam family "Bacterial small subunit ribosomal RNA", at positions 28 to 495 of the family's 1533-position model. Lineage: Bacteria; Bacillati; Bacillota; Clostridia; Peptostreptococcales; Peptostreptococcaceae. The record is from RNAcentral.